GAAAUGCGAUAAGUAAUGUGAAUUGCAGAAUUCAGUGAAUCAUCGAAUCUUUGAACGCACCUUGCGCUCCUUGGUAUUCCUUGGAGCAUGCCUGUUUGAGUAUCAUGAAAUCUUCAAAGUAAAUCUUUUGUUAACUCAAUUGGUUUCUACUUUGGUAUUGGAGGUCUUUGCAGCUUCACACCUGCUCCUCUUUGUUCAUUAGCUGGAUCUCAGUGUUAUGCUUGGUUCCACUCGGCGUGAUAAUUUAUCUAUCGCUGAGGACACUGUAAAAGGUGGCCAAGGUAAAUGCAGAUGAACCGCUUCUAAUAGUCCAUUGACUUGGACAAUACUUUUAUGAUCUGAUCUCAAAUCAGGUAGGACUACCCGCUGAACUUAAGC
RNAcentral lists this unclassified non-coding RNA (378 nucleotides) under plant metagenome. Its description in RNAcentral is "partial contains 5.8S ribosomal RNA, internal transcribed spacer 2, and large subunit ribosomal RNA". The stretch from base 1 to 105 matches the Rfam family "5.8S ribosomal RNA", at positions 50 to 154 of the family's 154-position model. The record is from RNAcentral.